AUUCCUUUUGAUUUUGGAGGAAUAAAAGUAGAGGAAUUAUUUAUACAUGUUAGUGUAAGCGUAUAAGUGAGUAAAUCUCAGUUUGAUGAAAUCUAUCAGGUGAAUUAAAAUAGAAGUUUAAUUAACCUAAAACGGAUAGCUAAAAGCCACGUUUUAACUGAAACAAAGUAAAAUUAUACAGCAGUAAAGAAUUCUAUACAAUUAAAGUAAUUUAGAUAUGGUAGUUUCUCUUAGUCUUGUCUAAUUAAGUGCCAGCAGACGCGGUUAUACUUAAAAGGCAAAUUUUUAUAAUAAAACAGGUAAUAAUAUGUGUAGCAAAUAAAAUAUAAUAUUAAGUACGUUUUUGAAACGGUUAAAUGUACAAAAAUUGUAAUUCCUAAUAAGAAAUUUUAAUAUUAAAAAAUGUGAAACAUGAAAAAAAGGAUAUUAAAUAGGAUUAGAUACCCUAGUAAACCUUUUCGUAAAUAGAUUUUUAAAAAAUCUACCUGAACAGUACACUUUUAAGAGUGAAAAUCAAAAAUUUUGGCUGUUUACUUUCCAAUUAGAGGAGCAUGUGAUUUAAUUCGAUAAUCCGCGAAGUAUCUUACCUAUUCUUGAAUAAUCAGGAGCUGCAUGGUCGUCGUCAGUUUAAAUCUAUAGUUUAAACAUAACCCGAAAAUGGAUAAAGUCAGAUGGUAUGACCCUUAUGAAUAGGUAUAUCAUGUGCUACAAUAAUUAAAUUAGUAAAAAUUUAAAUUCGGAUUAAUAGUGAAAUUCUAUUAUGAAGGAGAAUUUAAUAGUAAAUGGGAAUUAGAAAGUCCCAUUGAAUUGGUUCAAGUAUGAGUACAAAUUGCCCGUCGCCUUUAUUGAUAAUUAUAUUAAAGAUAGAGCAAGUCGUAACAUAGUGGGGGUAAGGGAACUUGUCCCUGAAAUAAUAAUUU
Molecule: ribosomal RNA, 920 nt
Filed under: Mitrocomella polydiademata
Lineage: Eukaryota; Metazoa; Cnidaria; Hydrozoa; Leptothecata; Mitrocomidae
Description: 12S ribosomal RNA
Rfam family: Bacterial small subunit ribosomal RNA
Source: RNAcentral